This 442-nucleotide ribosomal RNA is filed under the name uncultured bacterium. RNAcentral's name for it is "partial 16S ribosomal RNA". It matches the Rfam family "Bacterial small subunit ribosomal RNA", at positions 338 to 795 of the family's 1533-position model. The record is from RNAcentral.
CCUACGGGUGGCAGCAGUGGGGAAUAUUGGGCAAUGGGCGAAAGCCUGACCCAGCAACGCCGCGUGAAGGAAGAAGGCUUUCGGGUUGUAAACUUCUUUUGACAGGGAAGAGCAGAAGACGGUACCUGCCGAAUAAGCCACGGCUAAAUAAGUGCCAGCAGCCGCCGUAAUACGUAGGUGGCCAGCGUUGUCCGGAUGUACUGGGUGUAAAGGGGGUGUAGGCGGGCUGACAAGUCAGGUGUGAAAGUCGGGGGCUCAACCCCCGCACUGCAUUUGAAACUGUUGGUCUUGAGUGUCGGGGAGGCAGGCGGAAUUCCUGGUGUAGCGGUGAAAUGCGUAGAUAUUAGGAAGAACACCGAUGGCGAAGGCGGCCUGCUGGACGACAACUGACGGUGAGGCGCGAAAGCGUGGGGAGCAAACAGGAUUAGAUACCCGAGUAGUC